GCCUUUUGCAUAAUGAGCCUACGAGUUACUCGUCAUUGGCAAGGUUAACCUAUAAUGGGGAGCCGUAGCGAAAGCAAGUCUGAAUAGGGCGAAUAGUCAGUGGCGGUAGACGCGAAACCUGUGUGAUCUACCCAUGGGCAGGUUGAAGGUGUGGUAACACACACUGGAGGACCGAACCGAUAAACGUUGAAAAGUUUCCGGAUGACCUGUGGGUAGGGGUGAAAGGCCAAUCAAACUGGGAGAUAGCUCGUACUCCCCGAAAUGCAUUUAGGUGCAGCCUCGGAAUGUAAGUGUUAUAGAGGUAGAGCUACCGAUUGGACUAGGGGGCUUCACCGCCUACCAAAAUCCUGACGAACUCCGAAUGCUAUAACACAUGUCCGGGAGUGAGGCGCGGGGGUGCUAAGGUCACGCGCCGAAAGGGAAACAACCCAGAUUAUCAGCUAAGGCCUCUAAAAUCUACAUUAAGUUGUUUAAACGAUGUUUGGUUGCUAUGACAGCUAGGAUGUUUGCUUGGAAGCAGCAAUUCAUUUAAAGAGUG
This 538-nucleotide ribosomal RNA is filed under the name uncultured bacterium. Its description in RNAcentral is "bacterial LSU rRNA". It matches the Rfam family "Bacterial large subunit ribosomal RNA", at positions 603 to 1132 of the family's 2925-position model. The record is from RNAcentral.